RNAcentral lists this ribosomal RNA (478 nucleotides) under uncultured bacterium. RNAcentral describes it as "partial 16S ribosomal RNA". It matches the Rfam family "Bacterial small subunit ribosomal RNA", at positions 28 to 507 of the family's 1533-position model. The record is from RNAcentral.
GACGAACGCUGGUGGCGUGCUUAACACAUGCAAGUCGAACGGGAUUUAGUAAACAGAAGCCUCGGUGGAAGAUUACUAAUGAGAGUGGCGAACGGGUGAGUAACGCGUGAGCAACCUGCCUAUGACAGUGGGAUAGCCUCGGGAAACCGGGAUUAAUACCGCAUAAAAUCGUAGAAACACAUGUUUUAACGGUCAAAGAUUUAUCGGUCAUAGAUGGGCUCGCGUCUGAUUAGCUAGUUGGGGAGAUAACAGCCCACCAAGGCGACGAUCAGUAGCCGGUCUGAGAGGAUGAACGGCCACAUUGGAACUGAGACACGGUCCAAACUCCUACGGGAGGCAGCAGUGGGGAAUAUUGCACAAUGGGGGAAACCCUGAUGCAGCGACGCCGCGUGAACGAAGAAGGUAUUCGUAUCGUAAAGUUCUGUCCUAUGGGAAGAUAAUGACAUUACCAUAGAAGAAAGCUCCGGCUAAAUACGUG